RNAcentral lists this ribosomal RNA (432 nucleotides) under uncultured bacterium. Its description in RNAcentral is "bacterial SSU rRNA". It matches the Rfam family "Bacterial small subunit ribosomal RNA", at positions 28 to 458 of the family's 1533-position model. The record is from RNAcentral.
GAUGAACGCUGGCGGCGUGCUUAACACAUGCAAGUCGAACGGGAUCCAGGCAGCUUGCUGCCUGGUGAGAGUGGCGAACGGGUGAGUAAUGCGUGACCGACCUGCCCCAUACACCGGAAUAGCUCCUGGAAACGGGUGGUAAUGCCGGAUGCUCCGACUCCUCGCAUGGGGUGUCGGGAAAGAUUUCAUCGGUAUGGGAUGGGGUCGCGUCCUAUCAGGUAGUCGGCGGGGUAACGGCCCACCGAGCCUACGACGGGUAGCCGGCCUGAGAGGGCGACCGGCCACAUUGGGACUGAGAUACGGCCCAGACUCCUACGGGAGGCAGCAGUGGGGAAUAUUGCACAAUGGGCGCAAGCCUGAUGCAGCGACGCCGCGUGCGGGAUGACGGCCUUCGGGUUGUAAACCGCUUUUGAUCGGGAGCAAGCCUUCGGG